This 529-nucleotide ribosomal RNA is filed under the name uncultured bacterium. RNAcentral's name for it is "bacterial SSU rRNA". It matches the Rfam family "Bacterial small subunit ribosomal RNA", at positions 224 to 750 of the family's 1533-position model. The record is from RNAcentral.
GAUGAGCAUGCGUCCCAUUAGCUAGUUGGUAAGGUAACGGCUUACCAAGGCUACGAUGGGUAGGGGUCCUGAGAGGGAGAUCCCCCACACUGGUACUGAGACACGGACCAGACUCCUACGGGAGGCAGCAGUGAGGAAUAUUGGACAAUGGGCGCAAGCCUGAUCCAGCCAUGCCGCGUGCAGGAUGACGGUCCUAUGGAUUGUAAACUGCUUUUAUACGAGAAGAAACACUGCUUCGUGAAGCAGCUUGACGGUAUCGUAAGAAUAAGGAUCGGCUAACUCCGUGCCAGCAGCCGCGGUAAUACGGAGGAUCCAAGCGUUAUCCGGAAUCAUUGGGUUUAAAGGGUCCGUAGGCGGUUUGGUAAGUCAGUGGUGAAAGCCCAUCGCUCAACGGUGGAACGGCCAUUGAUACUGCCAGACUUGAAUUAUUAGGAAGUAACUAGAAUAUGUAGUGUAGCGGUGAAAUGCUUAGAGAUUACAUGGAAUACCAAUUGCGAAGGCAGGUUACUACUAGUGGAUUGACGCUGAU